Molecule: unclassified non-coding RNA, 310 nt
Filed under: plant metagenome
Description: partial contains 5.8S ribosomal RNA, internal transcribed spacer 2, and large subunit ribosomal RNA
Rfam family: 5.8S ribosomal RNA (bases 1-105)
Source: RNAcentral
GAAAUGCGAUAAGUAGUGUGAAUUGCAGAAUUCAGUGAAUCAUCGAAUCUUUGAACGCACAUUGCGCCCCUUGGUAUUCCAUGGGGCAUGCCUGUUCGAGCGUCAUUUGUACCCUCAAGCUCUGCUUGGUGUUGGGUGUUUGUCCCCGUCUCCGCGCGUGGACUCGCCCCAAAGUGAUUGGCAGCCGGCGUACUGGUCCCGGAGCGCAGCACAUGUCGCGCAAACGAGUGCCUUGGUACGGCGGCGUCCAUAAGCCCCUCUCUCACGCUCUUGACCUCGGAUCAGGUAGGAAUACCCGCUGAACUUAAGC